This 467-nucleotide ribosomal RNA is filed under the name uncultured bacterium. RNAcentral's name for it is "partial 16S ribosomal RNA". It matches the Rfam family "Bacterial small subunit ribosomal RNA", at positions 28 to 507 of the family's 1533-position model. The record is from RNAcentral.
GACGAACGCUGGCGGCGUGCUUAACACAUGCAAGUCGAACGGAAAGGCCCUGCUUUUGUGGGGUGCUCGAGUGGCGAACGGGUGAGUAACACGUGAGUAACCUGCCCUUGACUUUGGGAUAACUUCAGGAAACUGGGCUAAUACCGGAUAGGAGCUCCUGCUGCAUGGUGGGGGUUGGAAAGUUUCGGCGGUUGGGGAUGGACUCGCGGCUUAUCAGCUUGUUGGUGGGGUAGUGGCUUACCAAGGCUUUGACGGGUAGCCGGCCUGAGAGGGUGACCGGCCACAUUGGGACUGAGAUACGGCCCAGACUCCUACGGGAGGCAGCAGUGGGGAAUAUUGCACAAUGGGCGGAAGCCUGAUGCAGCAACGCCGCGUGCGGGAUGACGGCCUUCGGGUUGUAAACCGCUUUCGCCUGUGACGAAGCGUGAGUGACGGCAAUGGGUAAAGAAGCACCGGCUAACUACGUG